GGAAAAGAAACUAACAAGGAUUCCCCUAGUAGCGGCGAGCGAAGCGGGAAAAGCUCAAAUUUGUAAUCUGGCGUCUACGACGUCCGAGUUGUAAUCUCGAGAAGUGUUUUCCGUGAUAGACCGCAUACAAGUCUCUUGGAACAGAGCGUCAUAGUGGUGAGAACCCAGUACACGAUGCGGAUGCCUAUUACUUUGUGAUACACUUUCGAAGAGUCGAGUUGUUUGGGAAUGCAGCUCAAAUUGGGUGGUAAAUUCCAUCUAAAGCUAAAUAUUGGCGAGAGACCGAUAGCGAACAAGUACCGUGAGGGAAAGAUGAAAAGCACUUUGGAAAGAGAGUUAACAGUACGUGAAAUUGUUGGAAGGGAAACACAUGCAGCCAGACUUGCUAUUCGGGGCAACUCGAUUGGCAGGCCCGCAUCAGUUUUUCGGGGCGGAAAAGCAUAGAGAGAAGGUAGCAAUUUCGGUUGUGUUAUAGCUCUUUAUUGGAUUCGCCCUGGGGGACUGAGGAACGCAGCGUGCUUUUAGCAUAAGCUUCGGCUUAUCCACGCUUAGGAUGCGGGUGUAAUGGCUGUAUAUGACCCGU
Molecule: ribosomal RNA, 583 nt
Filed under: Sporobolomyces sp.
Lineage: Eukaryota; Fungi; Basidiomycota; Microbotryomycetes; Sporidiobolales; Sporidiobolaceae
Description: partial large subunit ribosomal RNA
Rfam family: Eukaryotic large subunit ribosomal RNA
Source: RNAcentral